RNAcentral lists this ribosomal RNA (601 nucleotides) under Microbacterium aurantiacum. Its description in RNAcentral is "partial 16S ribosomal RNA". It matches the Rfam family "Bacterial small subunit ribosomal RNA", at positions 187 to 802 of the family's 1533-position model. The record is from RNAcentral. Lineage: Bacteria; Bacillati; Actinomycetota; Actinomycetes; Micrococcales; Microbacteriaceae.
CGCAUGGUGGGGGUUGGAAAGAUUUUUCGGUCUGGGAUGGGCUCGCGGCCUAUCAGCUUGUUGGUGAGGUAAUGGCUCACCAAGGCGUCGACGGGUAGCCGGCCUGAGAGGGUGACCGGCCACACUGGGACUGAGACACGGCCCAGACUCCUACGGGAGGCAGCAGUGGGGAAUAUUGCACAAUGGGCGGAAGCCUGAUGCAGCAACGCCGCGUGAGGGAUGACGGCCUUCGGGUUGUAAACCUCUUUUAGCAGGGAAGAAGCGAGAGUGACGGUACCUGCAGAAAAAGCGCCGGCUAACUACGUGCCAGCAGCCGCGGUAAUACGUAGGGCGCAAGCGUUAUCCGGAAUUAUUGGGCGUAAAGAGCUCGUAGGCGGUUUGUCGCGUCUGCUGUGAAAUCCCGAGGCUCAACCUCGGGCCUGCAGUGGGUACGGGCAGACUAGAGUGCGGUAGGGGAGAUUGGAAUUCCUGGUGUAGCGGUGGAAUGCGCAGAUAUCAGGAGGAACACCGAUGGCGAAGGCAGAUCUCUGGGCCGUAACUGACGCUGAGGAGCGAAAGGGUGGGGAGCAAACAGGCUUAGAUACCCUGGUAGUCCACCCCG